CAGCAGCCGCGGUAAUACGGAGGAUCCAAGCGUUAUCCGGAAUCAUUGGGUUUAAAGGGUCCGUAGGCGGUCUUGUAAGUCAGUGGUGAAAGCCCAUCGCUCAACGGUGGAACGGCCAUUGAUACUGCAGGACUUGAAUUAUUGGGAAGUAACUAGAAUAUGUAGUGUAGCGGUGAAAUGCUUAGAGAUUACAUGGAAUACCAAUUGCGAAGGCAGGUUACUACCAAUUGAUUGACGCUGAUGGACGAAAGCGUGGGUAGCGAACAGGAUUAGAUACCCCCGUAGUCCCUGUCUCUUAUAU
Molecule: ribosomal RNA, 301 nt
Filed under: uncultured bacterium
Lineage: Bacteria
Description: partial 16S ribosomal RNA
Rfam family: Bacterial small subunit ribosomal RNA
Source: RNAcentral